AGUGAACGCUGGCGGUAGGCCUAACACAUGCAAGUCGAACGGCAGCACAGUAAGAGCUUGCUCUUACGGGUGGCGAGUGGCGGACGGGUGAGGAAUACAUCGGAAUCUACUUUUUCGUGGGGGAUAACGUAGGGAAACUUACGCUAAUACCGCAUACGACCUACGGGUGAAAGCAGGGGAUCUUCGGACCUUGCGCGAUUGAAUGAGCUGAUGUCGGAUUAGCUAGUUGGCGGGGUAAAGGCCCACCAAGGCGACGAUCCGUAGCUGGUCUGAGAGGAUGAUCAGCCACACUGGAACUGAGACACGGUCCAGACUCCUACGGGAGGCAGCAGUGGGGAAUAUUGGACAAUGGGCGCAAGCCUGAUCCAGCCAUACCGCGUGGGUGAAGAAGGCCUGCGGGUUGUAAAGCCCUUUUGUUGGGAAAGAAAAGCAGCAGGUUAAUACCCCGCUGUUCUGACGGUACCCAAAGAAUAAGCACCGGCUAACUUCGUG
RNAcentral lists this ribosomal RNA (492 nucleotides) under uncultured bacterium. RNAcentral's name for it is "partial 16S ribosomal RNA". It matches the Rfam family "Bacterial small subunit ribosomal RNA", at positions 29 to 507 of the family's 1533-position model. The record is from RNAcentral.